This 465-nucleotide ribosomal RNA is filed under the name Vreelandella stevensii. Its description in RNAcentral is "partial 16S ribosomal RNA". It matches the Rfam family "Bacterial small subunit ribosomal RNA", at positions 338 to 795 of the family's 1533-position model. The record is from RNAcentral. Lineage: Bacteria; Pseudomonadati; Pseudomonadota; Gammaproteobacteria; Oceanospirillales; Halomonadaceae.
CCUACGGGUGGCAGCAGUGGGGAAUAUUGGACAAUGGGCGAAAGCCUGAUCCAGCCAUGCCGCGUGUGUGAAGAAGGCCUUCGGGUUGUAAAGCACUUUCAGUGGGGAAGAAAGCCUUGGGGCUAAUACCCUCGAGGAAGGACAUCACCCACAGAAGAAGCACCGGCUAACUCCGUGCCAGCAGCCGCGGUAAUACGGAGGGUGCGAGCGUUAAUCGGAAUUACUGGGCGUAAAGCGCGCGUAGGCGGUCUGAUAAGCCGGUUGUGAAAGCCCCGGGCUCAACCUGGGAACGGCAUCCGGAACUGUCAGGCUAGAGUGCAGGAGAGGAAGGUGGAAUUCCCGGUGUAGCGGUGAAAUGCGUAGAGAUCGGGAGGAAUACCAGUGGCGAAGGCGGCCUUCUGGACUGACACUGACGCUGAGGUGCGAAAGCGUGGGUAGCAAACAGGAUUAGAUACCCUAGUAGUC